Non-coding RNA from Oncorhynchus kisutch (coho salmon), 491 nucleotides. Lineage: Eukaryota; Metazoa; Chordata; Actinopteri; Salmoniformes; Salmonidae. The record is from the annotation of a RefSeq genome assembly.
GCUCUGGGAGUGUUUAUAGCCCUGUGAGUUUCAGACUGUGGGACUGAGAUCUGUCCUUCAACACAACAGAAACCACGACAACCAUGACAAUGAUCACCAUCUUCAUCUGGACACUGGUCUGCUGCUGCCUCAAAGGAUCCAGAGGUCAGGUGACUGUGACUCAGCCUCCUGUAGUGACAUUUUCUCCAGGAGACCCUGUCACUCUGACCUGUACAACCAACACUAAAGUGUACAAAUGGAGCAAUGGAAAUGAGGGUGCGUACUGGUAUCAACAGAGACCUGGAGAAGCUCCCAAACUCCUGAUAAGAAACAUAAAGACACGGCUAGAUGGGAUUCCUGCUAGAUUCAGUGGCAGUGGGUCUGAGAGUGACUUCACUCUGACCAUCAGUGGAGUCCAGGCUGAAGAUGCAGCAGUUUACUACUGUAAGAGUUUCCACUAUCUCAACAGUAUAAAUAUGUUCACACAGUGAUUUAAAGCCGUACAAAAACCU